GACGAACGCUGGCGGCGUGCUUAAUACAUGCAAGUCGAACGGAGCCUAGCCGGUAGUUUACUACCAGCGAACGCUUAGUGGCGGACGGGUGAGUAACGCGUGGGCAAUCUGCCCCUAAGUCCGGGAUAACAGAGCGAAAGUUCUGCUAAGACCGGAUACUCUUCCUUGGUCGCAUGGCCUGGGAAGGAAAGGAUACGCUUAGGGAUGAGCCCGCGUCCCAUUAGCUAGUUGGUGAGGUAACGGCCCACCAAGGCGACGAUGGGUAGCCGGCCUGAGAGGGUGGACGGCCACACUGGGACUGAGACACGGCCCAGACUCCUACGGGAGGCAGCAGUAGGGAAUUUUCCGCAAUGGGGGAAACCCUGACGGAGCAACGCCGCGUGAGGGAAGAAGGUCUUCGGAUCGUAAACCUUUGUCAUCGAGGACGAAAACUGACGGUACUCGAGGAGGAAGCCCCGGCUAACUACGUG
This 470-nucleotide ribosomal RNA is filed under the name uncultured bacterium. Its description in RNAcentral is "bacterial SSU rRNA". It matches the Rfam family "Bacterial small subunit ribosomal RNA", at positions 28 to 507 of the family's 1533-position model. The record is from RNAcentral.